AAUUAAACAUGUAUUAGUGUCCGCAAUAAGAAUCCGAUCGGCUGUGUGUGUACAUUUAAUAUAUGCACGUGUUUAUUUUUAUCGCACAUUCUCUUCAUCUCGAUUUUGCAAGAUAUAAGCAAAUAGUGAGAAAAAUUUCUCAAUAUCGGAAAAAGAUUUGCCCAAAGUUUCUGGCAGAAAAAAAUAUACAAAAGCUGUACCUAUUAAGGACAUAAAGCUAAAAGAGAAAAAGAUACCCUCGAUGUUCAUGCAUUUUAAAAUAUCAGGAUAGUUCUUCACAACAGCAAACAUCAUUAUAUAAGCAAGAGAAACCAUGAGACCCCCACCGAUACCACGUAUAGAUACAGGCAACAAUUCUCCAAUCAAUGUCCACGGUAUAUUUAGAAAUCCAAAUGUACUAGUGCAGAUGUAAGAUAAUACAAAGAAUAAUAAUAACCAUUUUUGAUCUA
Long non-coding RNA from Nylanderia fulva, 449 nucleotides. RefSeq lists it as uncharacterized. Lineage: Eukaryota; Metazoa; Arthropoda; Insecta; Hymenoptera; Formicidae. The record is from RefSeq and is a predicted model, not a curated record.